Molecule: ribosomal RNA, 1803 nt
Filed under: Campylobacter coli
Lineage: Bacteria; Pseudomonadati; Campylobacterota; Epsilonproteobacteria; Campylobacterales; Campylobacteraceae
Description: partial 23S ribosomal RNA
Rfam family: Bacterial large subunit ribosomal RNA
Source: RNAcentral
CCUAAAUACUAAUACCAGAUCGAUAGUGCACAAGUACCGUGAGGGAAAGGUGAAAAGAACUGAGGUGAUCAGAGUGAAAUAGAACCUGAAACCAUUUGCUUACAAUCAUUCAGAGCCCUAUGUAGCAAUACAGGGUGAUGGACUGCCUUUUGCAUAAUGAGCCUGCGAGUUGUGGUGUCUGGCAAGGUUAAGCAAACGCGAAGCCGUAGCGAAAGCGAGUCUGAAUAGGGCGCUUAGUCAGAUGCUGCAGACCCGAAACGAAGUGAUCUAUCCAUGAGCAAGUUGAAGCUAGUGUAAGAACUAGUGGAGGACUGAACCCAUAGGCGUUGAAAAGCCCCGGGAUGACUUGUGGAUAGGGGUGAAAGGCCAAUCAAACUUCGUGAUAGCUGGUUCUCUCCGAAAUAUAUUUAGGUAUAGCGUUGUGUCGUAAUAUAAGGGGGUAGAGCACUGAAUGGGCUAGGGCAUACACCAAUGUACCAAACCCUAUCAAACUCCGAAUACCUUAUAUGUAAUCACAGCAGUCAGGCGGCGAGUGAUAAAAUCCGUCGUCAAGAGGGAAACAACCCAGACUACCAGCUAAGGUCCCUAAAUCUUACUUAAGUGGAAAACGAUGUGAAGUUACUUAAACAACCAGGAGGUUGGCUUAGAAGCAGCCAUCCUUUAAAGAAAGCGUAAUAGCUCACUGGUCUAGUGAUUUUGCGCGGAAAAUAUAACGGGGCUAAAGUAAGUACCGAAGCUGUAGACUUGCGCACAACUUAGAUUAUUUAAGUUUAGAAUAUGAGAAACUAAGUUAUAUGUUUAGUUAUAUUUUUACUGAUUUUUAUAGAGUAAAGAUAGAAAUAAAACUUAGUAAAAUCAGUAAAAAUAUUCUUAGACUAAAGUUAAGUAGUUUAAGUUGUGUGCAAGUGGUAGGAGAGCGUUCUAUUUGCGUCGAAGGUAUACCGGUAAGGAGUGCUGGAGCGAAUAGAAGUGAGCAUGCAGGCAUGAGUAGCGAUAAUUAAUGUGAGAAUCAUUAACGCCGUAAACCCAAGGUUUCCUACGCGAUGCUCGUCAUCGUAGGGUUAGUCGGGUCCUAAGUCGAGUCCGAAAGGGGUAGACGAUGGCAAAUUGGUUAAUAUUCCAAUACCAACAUUAGUGUGCGAUGGAAGGACGCUUAGGGCUAAGGGGGCUAGCGGAUGGAAGUGCUAGUCUAAGGUCGUAGGAGGUUAUACAGGCAAAUCCGUAUAACAAUACUCCGAGAACUGAAAGGCUUUUUGAAGUCUUCGGAUGGAUAGAAGAACCCCUGAUGCCAUCGAGCCAAGAAAAGUUUCUAAGUUUAGCUAAUGUUGCCCGUACCGUAAACCGACACAGGUGGGUGGGAUGAGUAUUCUAAGGCGCGUGGAAGAACUCUCUUUAAGGAACUCUGCAAAAUAGCACCGUAUCUUCGGUAUAAGGUGUGGUUCGCUUCGUAUUAGGAUUUACUCCGAAAGCGAAGAAACUUACAACAAAGAGUCCCUCCCGACUGUUUACCAAAAACACAGCACUCUGCUAACUCGUAAGAGGAUGUAUAGGGUGUGACGCCUGCCCGGUGCUCGAAGGUUAAUUGAUGGGGUUAGCAUUAGCGAAGCUCUUGAUCGAAGCCCGAGUAAACGGCGGCCGUAACUAUAACGGUCCUAAGGUAGCGAAAUUCCUUGUCGGUUAAAUACCGACCUGCAUGAAUGGCGUAACGAGAUGGGAGCUGUCUCAAAGAGGGAUCCAGUGAAAUUGUAGUGGAGGUGAAAAUUCCUCCUACCCGCGGCAAGACGGAAAGACCCCGUGGACCUU